CCUAAAUCCGCUGCAGACGGUCUCCUCUCGGCAAAGGGAGGAGCCAAGAGGGAAUGCGGUGCGGGAUCUGAAGAUCUCAAAUCCGCGGCUGUCCCCGCAACUGUAAGCGACGAGCCUCAGCCGAAAACCACUGGGAUGUUCCCGGGAAGGCGGCAUCCGAGGCGAUGACCCGCGAGCCAGGAGACCUGCCGUCUGAGACAUAAAGAA
Molecule: non-coding RNA, 207 nt
Filed under: Mesorhizobium amorphae
Lineage: Bacteria; Pseudomonadati; Pseudomonadota; Alphaproteobacteria; Hyphomicrobiales; Phyllobacteriaceae
Source: RNAcentral